This 226-nucleotide long non-coding RNA is filed under the name Prunus persica (peach). Its description in RNAcentral is "long non-coding RNA (PPER_LNC007709)". Lineage: Eukaryota; Viridiplantae; Streptophyta; Magnoliopsida; Rosales; Rosaceae. The record is from RNAcentral.
GAACAUCUUCCGGCAAUGGAUGUCGAAUACCCACAGGAAGUAGGCGUUGCAUAAACACAUGGCAGUCAUGGCUCUUCAGUCCAGUAAAUUUACCCCCGUCAACAUUCACGCAACGUGCGAUAUUAGAAGCAUACCCAUCAGGAAACUUUACAGACGAUACAAACUUUAGAAACUCUUUUUUGUCAUUCGGUUUCAUAGAAAAGAAUGCAAGAUCCCUUCUAGCUUU